Gasterosteus aculeatus aculeatus (three-spined stickleback) is the source of this 1702-nucleotide long non-coding RNA. The record is from Ensembl. Lineage: Eukaryota; Metazoa; Chordata; Actinopteri; Perciformes; Gasterosteidae.
GAAGCAGAUGUGCUUUUGGGGGUAUUUCUGUUGUACACACGAUUUAGCUUUUAUAUGGGGGGUGUGAUGGAAUAAAAAAGCAAAGGUUAUUAAUAGGAUGUUAAAAGUGCGGAGAUCCGCAAGUGUCACAGCAUCAGCUGUGAUCCUCCCACCCCCCUCCUACUUCCUUCCCUCCUCCCCCAUCUCACCACCAACAACCCGCGCUGCUUGAGUCACGCUCGCGCAGACGGUGGCAGCUCGGAACAAGUUCAACUUCUUAAAGUUUCUCGAUCGGACGCCCACGGUCGUGUUGUGAGGCAUCGAUCGAGCUCCAGCAUGAAGCUCCUGUGGCGGAUCAUCUCCUUAGCGCUCUUCUUGCAGCUUGUCAGUGCUACAGACCUUCAGUGCACCGUCACCCGGGACGCAGACAGAACCCAUUACAGUGUCCCACAGUUCACUGGAGAAGCCUGUGACUUCCGCUGGUGGAACCAGACGAACUUGGCCAAUCCCAGCGGGCAUAGUGAGCAGGUUGCGAGGAGCAGCAACCGGAGCCUUGACACCUACCAGUGCUUCCCCCAGAUGUUCUACAGCAGAACCUGCAGCGAUGGGGUGAACCAAGUCGCUACCUGCACCUUCAACUGCAGCGUAAACUCCGAGGAUCCACAGAAAGAAGAGUCUCACACAAUGGAUGGUGGUCUCAUUGCUGCCGUGCUGGUUUCGGUUCUGGUUCUGGUCCUGGUUCUGGUUCUGGUUCUUGUGUGCUACACGGUCAAAGCUGACAGGAGAAAGAGCGGCCGCGGCUCCCCCCACACUGACAGCACCGAGGAAGUUCUUGCCAUUGUGUGAAGAUGCCAAUGCUACCAGAAAUAUUCCACUUUACUUUUAAACACUUUAUCUCCAUUUACUCUGCACAUGAAUUUUAGCUUAAUAUAUAUUUCUAUAUGACUAACUUUGCCCUAUUUUUCCAUUUAAGAACUUAUUGGGGUCCAAAUAUGGCCCUGUGGUGUUCCCUUUGUGGUCAGGGUUUUUUUCCCAAAGGAACUUUCCUCCCUCCCAUGGGUAUAAAAGUAAAACUGAGCUGGGGAAGCCCAUGGAGACCAAAAAGCUACUACCUGCCCUCCUGACCCGACUUGUUGGGGGAGGUGUUCCCCAAGGGGGGGGGGGGGGGGGUGUCAGGGUUUCCUCACUCACAUUGGUAUUAAAGUAAAACUGAGCUGUGGAAGCUAUUUGACUGGUAAUGGAGCACCAGGACAACAACUGAAAUAAAUACAUAUCUAGUUAAAAUAAUAUUAUCCUGCCAAGUGAUAGGAUCUAAACAUUAAAAUAUAAUAAUACAUACAUUUAUAUAUUCAUACUUUAUGUAUAAUGUUAGAUCUUUCAUAAUUUUUAUAUUUAUAUAUAUAUAAUAUAUAAUUAUGAUAUUAAUAUGAAUAGGAGGGUUUAUUACAUUACAUUACAUGUCAUUUAGCGGACGCUUUUAUCCAAAGCGACGUACAAUAAGUGCAUUCAACCAUAGGGUACAAACUCAGGAAAACAAGAAAGUGCAAUUUCCUCAAAUAAGCUAAGGUUUAUCAAGUCACUGUCUCUUUUAUUCUUAAACGAUGUCUCCACCUGCCAACACUGUGUGUCUUAUGAAAUCUUUUUAUUCUAAUCUUGUAGCAUUCACUUAAAACACUCCUUCAUUGUUUUUUUUUUUCUUUAAAUAAAACGUUCUGUCUGAGAA